Camelus dromedarius (Arabian camel) is the source of this 235-nucleotide non-coding RNA. Ensembl annotates it as small Cajal body-specific RNA 6. Its record names the gene SCARNA6. The record is from Ensembl. Lineage: Eukaryota; Metazoa; Chordata; Mammalia; Artiodactyla; Camelidae.
UGAGUAUGAAAAGGGCUGACUCCCCAGGCCCCUUCCCGGCAUCCUCACCAUCCCCAGCCACCCCUGUCCCACUGGGCUUCAGGACAGAGGGCAGCUGACACUCGGUGAUGACCCACUUCUGCGUUCCUUGGCAGCCCGGGGAAGAUGCCAUGGUUGGCAUCCCACAGCUAGUCACAAAAAGAUUUGAUUGUUGGGAAUGCGGUAUCUGUGGUUAUAAUCUGACAUUUCAAGCUGA